This 253-nucleotide ribosomal RNA is filed under the name uncultured bacterium. RNAcentral's name for it is "partial 16S ribosomal RNA". It matches the Rfam family "Bacterial small subunit ribosomal RNA", at positions 524 to 776 of the family's 1533-position model. The record is from RNAcentral.
UACGUAGGGGGCUAGCGUUGUCCGGAUUUAUUGGGCGUAAAGGGCGCGUAGGCGGCCUGUCAAGUCAACUGUGAAAUCUCCGGGCUUAACUCGGAACGGUCAGUUGAUACUGUCAGGCUAGAGUGCAGAAGGGGCAAUCGGAAUUCUUGGUGUAGCGGUGAAAUGCGUAGAUAUCAAGAGGAACACCUGAGGUGAAGACGGGUUGCUGGGCUGACACUGACGCUGAGGCGCGAAAGCCAGGGGAGCAAACGGG